Molecule: long non-coding RNA, 2844 nt
Filed under: Mus caroli (Ryukyu mouse)
Lineage: Eukaryota; Metazoa; Chordata; Mammalia; Rodentia; Muridae
Description: lncRNA (MGP_CAROLIEiJ_G0006543.1)
Source: RNAcentral
CUGGACUGUCUCCUGAGAGAGAGGAGACAGACAUAGCUCAUGGCAGUUUAUAAAGAGGCUUACCCUGUGGACAUCCUGGAGGAUGACGCGGAGGGCUAUCAGGCAGCAGCUGAGGCUUACUAUGAGAUGCUCAGGGAAGGAGCCCAGACCUCAGCAGAGGUUAUCUCCCUUUCCACUGGGGAGCAGGUCAGACUUGAGGCUUCAUCUCUUUGUUUUUGCACGAUGUACCGUGAUGAACCUCAACAUAAAAUACUGGGUUUGGUUAGUCCCCAGGACACAAAGACAGUUGUGGCUGUUUACUUAAAGGAAUCCUGGUGGUCCAUCGAAGACAUCCUAAGAACUUCUGAUCCCACGCGGGAAGGGCUCAUGAAGGUUCAGUCCUUUGGGGAAAGGAUUAUUCUCUUUGUUCUCAACGUGAUUGUUUUUGGAAGACUGGAGAGAAGGCUGCACAGCGAUGACAUGUUUUUCUUACCUCACCCUGCGAAGGAGCAAGCUAAGAUUCUGUGGAGAGAUGGAGCCGCGGUUGCAUUUUACUCAGUCAAAAUGAAAGGGCAGCCUCUGUGGUGAUGGUACCGGCACAUGCUACCUGCUGCCUGUCUUCGACACCGUGUUUGUGAGGAGGAAGAACCGUUGUCAAGGCCUGGGGACAGCCAUGCUGAGGGACUUCUGUGACACCUUUCAAGGAGACGAAGCUCUGGGUAUCAGUUGUCCGAUAUCUCCUGCCAUGUACAGAGUCCUCAGGCAGUUCCUGUUGACCUGUCCAGGCGAGAGAGGGCGCUUGUGGGAGGUGGAGCCCCCGGGGGCCUGGGGCCAGCAGCGUGUUAACAUCUGGCUCAAGGUUUAUCUUCAAGAGCGGAGACUUCAAGAUGGGAGCACCGUGCACCCUAAAUGUUCUGAAGAGGACACGGACACUCCUGGGCAGGCUUCUAAGGAGGAUGGACCCACACAGUUUAAUCAUGGAGAAAGCCACAAGGAGUGGGCUGUUGGAGAACCGGAGAGGACACAGAAUGACCGACGGUGUGCGGAAGUGUGUGAGGAAGCGCGUUAGGUGUGAACUCGGCACCUAACUCCUCAGAGGUCCGUCUGGCUUCUCCAGGAACGGAGCCUGAGGGUUUUAUACAGCCCUGAAUAGUCUCUGGUCCCGAGGAUGGUGUUUGUUAUCUCUGGCUCCCCUGGUAGGCUCCGGAACAACAGGGUCUGAAGACGUGCUUGGGUGAGCCAGUUACUCAAUGGGAGCCACUUUUGUGGGCCAACUGUUGGCAGAUGCAGGACUUUAGAACGUCAUUCAUUAAAAUGACCAUUGCUUCCACUCCCCAGGAGGAUAGGAGGGAGAUGCGUGGGACCCUGUGAAUGAAUGCACACCCUUCCCUUUAGUGGAAACAGGCUCAGAGAUGGACCAUGGUUCCCAUCCAUGUUGUACAUUCAGCCCUGUUGUAACCUCAGAGCUCCACAGUGGAGUUUUUCAGGGAGACACAUUCCUUCUCUGGGGACUUGUCAGUCACUUCUGAGCUCCUUGAGGACACACACCAGGGCUGGAUAAUGUCAACCAUGCCAGGGCCCAAUGGUGGCCACUGUGGGCCUUGGACUGCAUUAGGCUCAGUGUACUGCCCGUGUUGCCUUCAAUGCCAUCGGGUCCAGAUGUCUGCAUGCAGGGGAGGAUUUCUACCUGAGAAAGCGAGCCUGGCACUUUAUGUUCCCUGAAUGCUCAACAACAUAUGCUGUGGGGCCUUAUAUUUGUCAAAGCGUGCAGCUCUUUGCUCAUUUCUACAUACAUGCACACAUGCAUGCGUGCACACAUACAUCUCUCAUUUUCUCUCUCUUCUUUUUCCUUCACCUCUUCUCUUCCUCUCCCCUUUCCUCUAACCAUUUAUCUGUAUAUAUAUGUGUGUGUGUAUACACAUAUAUACAUAUACAUAUACAUAUACAUAUACAUAUACAUGUUGUGAUCGUUUGUGUAUGCUAGGCCCAGGGAGUGGCACUUUUAGAAGGUGUGGCCCUGUUGGAGUAGGUGUGUCACUGUGGGUGUCUGGCUUUAAGACCCUCAUCCUAGCUGUCUGGAAGCGACUAUUCUGGUAGCAGCCUUCAGAUGAAGAUGUAGAACUCUCAGCUCUGCCUGCGCCAUUCCUGCCCAGAUACUGCCAUGCUCCCUCCCACCUUGAUGAUAAUGGACUGAAUCUCUGAACCUGUAAACCAGCCCCAAUUAAAUUUUUUUUUUUUAAUAAGACUUGCCUUGGUCAUGGUGUCUGCUCACAGCAGUAAAACCCUAACUAAGGCACACACACAUAUAUCAUACAUAAACAUAUGUACACAACCAUACACACAUGUACACUCACACAUACAUUCUCUCUAUUUCCUUUGAUUCACUGCUGUAUCCCCUAUCAGUCUGUCCUCUCUUGUUCCUUCCUUUCUCCACCCAUCCAGCAUGCUUUCUGUGGGACAAACUCUGUGUUGUGCUUGGGACAUUAAACUGAGGCUUGGUUUCAGCCUCAGGGAGCUGCUCUCUCUGGGUGGGCUGCCCUGAGUGUCCCCUGCAGUUUCUCUUCGUCUCACACGCAUUGCAAAGAGGGAGGGGCCCAACUGUGAAGAAGCAGAGCUUGCAGCUCCAUACAGGGGCAUCACGAGGACCCCGUUUGCAUAUGGGGUCUGUGAAGGAAGCCCGGACCACAGACAUGGACUGAACAUCUGGGGGGUGCUUUGUGUGGGACCCCACACAUUCUUUAACAUGUAGUUUGUGUGUUGUGAGGAUUUCUUGUUUUCUGUUUAUUUGAAAAUUAACUCAUAAGUUUCUCUGUGAUUUAAUAACAUUAUUGCUCAAUAAAGACCUUCCAUAUAUUAAUAGCUUAA